CCUACGGGAGGCUGCAGUGGGGAAUAUUGGACAAUGGGGGCAACCCUGAUCCAGCCAUGCCGCGUGUGUGAAGAAGGCCCUCGGGUUGUAAAGCACUUUCAGUGAGGAAGAACGCCUGGUGGUUAAUACCCAUCAGGAAAGACAUCACUCACAGAAGAAGCACCGGCUAACUCCGUGCCAGCAGCCGCGGUAAUACGGAGGGUGCGAGCGUUAAUCGGAAUUACUGGGCGUAAAGCGCGCGUAGGUGGCUUGAUAAGCCGGUUGUGAAAGCCCCGGGCUCAACCUGGGAACGGCAUCCGGAACUGUCAAGCUAGAGCGCAGGAGAGGAAGGUAGAAUUCCCGGUGUAGGGGUGAAAUGCGUAGAGAUCAGGAGGAAUACCAGUGGCGAAGGCGGCCUUCUGGACUGACACUGACACUGAGGUGCGAAAGCGUGGGUAGCAAACAGGAUUAGAUACCCGAGUAGUC
Molecule: ribosomal RNA, 465 nt
Filed under: Vreelandella stevensii
Lineage: Bacteria; Pseudomonadati; Pseudomonadota; Gammaproteobacteria; Oceanospirillales; Halomonadaceae
Description: partial 16S ribosomal RNA
Rfam family: Bacterial small subunit ribosomal RNA
Source: RNAcentral